UCGCGGUAUGGGAUGGGGUCGCGUCCUAUCAGCUUGACGGCGGGGUAACGGCCCACCGUGGCUUCGACGGGUAGCCGGCCUGAGAGGGCGACCGGCCACAUUGGGACUGAGAUACGGCCCAGACUCCUACGGGAGGCAGCAGUGGGGAAUAUUGCACCAUGGGCGCAAGCCUGAUGCAGCGACGCCGCGUGAGGGAUGGAGGCCUUCGGGUUGUAAACCUCUUUUAUCGGGGAGCAAGCGCGAGUGAGUUUACCCGUUGAAUAAGCACCGGCUAACUACGUGCCAGCAGCCGCGGUAAUACGUAGGGUGCAAGCGUUAUCCGGAAUUAUUGGGCGUAAAGGGCUCGUAGGCGGUUCGUCGCGUCCGGUGUGAAAGUCCAUCGCUUAACGGUGGAUCCGCGCCGGGUACGGGCGGG
RNAcentral lists this ribosomal RNA (415 nucleotides) under uncultured Bifidobacterium sp. RNAcentral's name for it is "bacterial SSU rRNA". It matches the Rfam family "Bacterial small subunit ribosomal RNA", at positions 213 to 640 of the family's 1533-position model. Lineage: Bacteria; Bacillati; Actinomycetota; Actinomycetes; Bifidobacteriales; Bifidobacteriaceae. The record is from RNAcentral.